CACGCAGAACUAACCUAAAUCCCAUCGAUCCGUCUCUGCGUCCGCCGCCGCCCCUCUCGCGCUACCUCCCCGCCUCAUCCGACUGCUUCCCCGCCGUCGGGAUGGAUAUCGGGGCUGAGGUGAGGAGGGUUGAGGGUCCCUCGAUUUCUGUCUAGGGUUCCCCGCCCACGCCGUCGCCUCGGCCACAUGCCUCGCGCCGCCCAGCCCCGCCAGACGCCGACGCCACGCCUCGCUCGCCUUCGUCGAGGUCGCCCGAUGCAGCCCAACCAUGGUGUGCAUCGGCCACUUGGGCGCAUUGGCUGCGGUAGUGACGCAGGGGCACGUGUGGAAGCCGGGACGAGGACGGACACAUCCAGAUCAGGUGCUCACGCCUGAUCUUGAUUAGUGUGGCCGCGGCGUUUGAAGAUUGAGCAUUGGACGGAUGCGUCCAGAGCAGACCUGACCUACAUGGCUGAGCGAGAUUGAGGCCGGCCGCCGGUCAUGUUCUCCUACGGUGCAAGCUCCGCACUGAAGCAUCCAACACAUGUUGUAAAGAAUCCGUACACUCCGGAGCAAGUAUUGUGAUCACAAUUACAGACAAGAUUCCUAAGUGCUUGAGGAUGUGAGUGCUCAAGGUAAACUUGCGGUGUAAUCUUGACCGAGCAAGAACGGCGAUGUGAUGCUCAUGGAAGAUGAGGUGAAGGAGGUGAACACACUGAUGAUAUUAUGGUAACCAAGGUGAGGAGAUCAAGAGCAUCAACAACCUCUUGACCGGGCUCUUCGUCGUUGCCACCAACAACAGUUACGAGCUUGUGAGGUAGCUGCUGGAGUGUUGGAGCAUCCUUGAAAAGAAGAAGAACAAAAUGCUGAUCAAGUUGUUCAACGAAGACGAGAUAGACAACCAUGGUAGGGGGCAAAAGAAGGCGUAGACUAUCUGCCAACUUCGACAGGGGGCAGAAGAAGAAAGAAGAAGAGUGAUUUAAUGGUGAAAGAAACUCGAAAGCAUGUUCGAACUAUUAAAUUAUAUAUGCCCCUGUUGCAACACAUGUUAGAUUACUACACUGUCAUAAUUCCAACAAAAUGCGGAACUAGCAAUACACCGUUCUCACAAAUAUUACACUGAUUGUUCAGUACUUUUUUUUCCAGGCAUUUGGCUUUUGACUGCAUAAAAGUGAGUAGAGGUGAAUGAAUGUUUAGGGAUGGAGGCUAGGCACUGUGAGAGAGUUAUUUUCAAUACUAUGAUUGUCACUGUCACUGUGUGCCUCAUUGCACUGUGAGUAUUAUCCUCUUUAAUUAUCUCGAACUACGGAUUUGUUGUACAGAACAAAAUUAUAGGUGGUAUUCGUUGUUUGUCCUCUUAAGUAUGUAUAUGGAACAAUGAUCGCACAUAUUCCUGUAAGCUAGAUUCUCUUCACAUUUAUGCAUAGUCUUGUUGGGGAGAAAAGAAAAGCAGUUAUAAUAAGCAGACAUAUUCUUCCUGUUUAUGUAUUCUUGCUCGGAGAGAAAAACAAAGUCUGAUAAUAGGCAGUUUUAUAUAAGCUUAUUUCUUGCAAAAUGGAUAUGGAAACUAACUAUCGUUUUUUGCUCUCUUACUUGUAAUGCAAAAUGUGAGAGCUUAUAUACACCCACAUAAAACAAGUAGGUGUUAUAACUCCUUAAGUGUUGGUGUUGUAUGUCUAAUUAUUGUUGCAUCAUUGGUGUUGCUUUAUUGGAUACACUGUCCUUUGGUGUUCUUUGGUUUUGUUAUUCUUUUCUUGGUUUUGAUCAUUUUGUGAUUGCAGGUGAUGAUAAAGACAGAAAAUGGUCUGUGCACAUGGCGCUAACGAUCGUGGAGGGAUCGACAAGGGGCCCGACUGUACUGUUUGGUACCCCUCAUGCCCAGCUUCCACUGGUCCACCGUGGGUGCUUCAGGCUUUGGUGAUUACAGCAAAUUAGCGCCGAGAUAUGCUGCAAGAAUCGUCGGCAAGUGUUGUUUCGCUGGGAAGGCAUCGGCCAUGAGAAUAGUAAAGUUGGGGAAGUUGUGCCGCUUUACAAGCACAAGAACACUAUGAUAGUGAAGGACCUGAACUUGAAGUCAAAGCACAAUAAAUGCAUAGAGGAUGAACCGGGGGAAAUUGUCAUGGUUAGUACUAUUUUUAUCAAAACUUCUCUCCAUGCGACCAUGCCUCUUGCCAUGCAAGCGCAUAUGUUCCUGGCAAGAGCAUAGUUUCAGUGCCACAAGUAUUAUCUUCUGACGGCAUUUCAGAUUUUCCUUUGAUCAGAUUGAAGGCCCCAUUCUUAGCUUGAACAUGUUGCUCUUUUAAAAUCCUGGCAAGAGCAUAGUUUCAGUGCGCUUCAACCAGUCACUCCUCGAGCAUGCACCACAGUUAUUUCCUCCCCUUUUUCAAGCGCAUUAUUAAUCCAGCGCGCGGCUGCUUUGGAUAACUUCAAGGCAAUUAAUAGCCCAUCUUGGUAUUAUAAAUUUUGCUCUCGGGCCCUUUAAACCCGGACGGAGGUAGUAUGGUGUAAAAUUCCUGAGCUGGACAUUAUGUUACAAUGGAAAUUUGAGGAUUCUUGCCUAUCAUACCCAUUUGUAGCCUAUAUCACACUGCAAAAUUCCAUGAACAAUUUGGUCCACAUUAUUUUUCUGUUAUAUCGUUCCUACCUAAGCGUGGAUUCCUUGAAACAUAGAAGUAUUUUCACAUCUAUUACAAACCAAGGUCUGUUAA
Molecule: non-coding RNA, 2687 nt
Organism: Aegilops tauschii subsp. strangulata
Lineage: Eukaryota; Viridiplantae; Streptophyta; Magnoliopsida; Poales; Poaceae
Source: RefSeq, a predicted model, not a curated record